GACGAACGCUGGCGGCGUGCCUAAUACAUGCAAGUCGAACGCUUCUUUCCUCCCGUGUGCUUGCACUCAAUUGGAAGUAGGAGUGGCGGACGGGUUAGUAACACGUGGGUAACCUACCGAUCUGAGGGGGAUAACACCUGGAAACAGGUGCUAAUACCGCAUAACAGUUUAUGCCGCAUGGCAUAAGAGUGAAAGGCGCUAUCGGCCGUCGCUGACGGAUGGACCCGCGGUGCAUUAGCUAGUUGGGGAGGUAACGGCUCACCAAGGCCACGACGCAUAGGCGACCUGAGGGGGUGAUCGGCCACACGGGGACUGAGACACGGCCCAGACUCCUGCGGGAGGCAGCAGUAGGGAAUCUUCGGCAAUGGAGGAAAGUCUGACCGAGGAACGCCGCGGGAGGGCAGAAGGUUUUCGGAUCGUAAAGCUCUGUUGGUAGAGAAGAACAAGGACGUUAGUAACUGAACGUCCCAUGACGGUAUCUAGCCAAAAAGCCACGGCUAACUACGUG
This 508-nucleotide ribosomal RNA is filed under the name uncultured bacterium. Its description in RNAcentral is "partial 16S ribosomal RNA". It matches the Rfam family "Bacterial small subunit ribosomal RNA", at positions 28 to 507 of the family's 1533-position model. The record is from RNAcentral.